Molecule: long non-coding RNA, 393 nt
Organism: Gossypium arboreum
Lineage: Eukaryota; Viridiplantae; Streptophyta; Magnoliopsida; Malvales; Malvaceae
Exons: 4
Source: RefSeq, a predicted model, not a curated record
GAAAUUUUCAAGCUUUGGAUAAAAGGUCAUAAGGUGAUCGUUCUAGACAUUCCGUUGUUCUAGCUAUUCCAAUCAUUGAUGGAUUGAAGGAGAAAUUCGCUAAGGCAACGAGGUGAAACGAUGUUAAAGCUAUUGUUCUUACGGCAAGGGAGGAAGGUUUUCCGGUGGUUUUGAUAUCAAUGUUUUCACGAAAGUUCAUGGAACCGGUGUUUCUAGCCCACGGACUACAGCUUGAGAAAAUAAACAAAGCUUUAAUAUUUGAUUGUAAAUUGUCUUGCAACGUUUAGAUGUUUUGUUGUUUUUAUUAAUAAACAAGAUCUUGUAUUUGGACUUCUUUGUUAGUAAAAGACUUGUUGUAUUUUAUUUAUAUCUUUAUAUUUAAUCUAAUUUUUA